ACUGCUCAGUAACACGUGGACAACCUACCCUUUGGACGGGGAUAAACCCGGGAAACUGGGUAUAAUACCCGAUAGUCCUCGAAGGCUGGAAUGCGUCGAGGACGAAAGCUCCGGCGCCGAAGGAUGGGUCUGCGGCCUAUCAGGUAGUAGUGGGUGUAGCGUACCUACUAGCCUACGACGGGUACGGGUUGUGAGAGCAAGAGCCCGGAGAUGGAUUCUGAGACACGAAUCCAGGCCCUACGGGGUGCAGCAGGCGCGAAAACUUUACAAUGCUGGCAACAGCGAUAAGGGAACCUCGAGUGCCAGGUUACAAAUCUGGCUGUCGAGAUGCCUAAAAAGCAUUUCAUAGCAAGGGCCGGGCAAGACCGGUGCCAGCCGCCGCGGUAACACCGGCGGCUCGAGUGGUAACCGUUAUUAUUGGGUCUAAAGGGUCUGUAGCCGGCCGGAUAAGUCUCUUGGGAAAUCUGGCAGCUCAACUGUCAGGCUUUCAGGAGAUACUGUCUGGCUCGAGGCCGGGAGAGGUGAGAGGUACUUCAGGGGUAGGGGUGAAAUCUUGUAAUCCUUGAAGGACCACCAGUGGCGAAGGCGUCUCACCAGAACGGACCUGACGGCAAGGGACGAAAGCUAGGGGCACGAACCGGAUUAGAUACCCGGGUAGUCCUAGCCGUAAACGAUACUCGCUAGGUGUCGGCCACGGUGCGACCGUGGUCGGUGCCGUAGGGAAGCCGUGAAGCGAGCCACCUGGGAAGUACGGCCGCAAGGCUGAAACUUAAAGGAAUUGGCGGGGGAGCAC
RNAcentral lists this ribosomal RNA (793 nucleotides) under uncultured Methanotrichaceae archaeon. RNAcentral describes it as "bacterial SSU rRNA". It matches the Rfam family "Archaeal small subunit ribosomal RNA", at positions 85 to 879 of the family's 1478-position model. Lineage: Archaea; Methanobacteriati; Methanobacteriota; Methanomicrobia; Methanotrichales; Methanotrichaceae. The record is from RNAcentral.